RNAcentral lists this ribosomal RNA (1216 nucleotides) under Ophiognomonia rosae. Its description in RNAcentral is "eukaryotic LSU rRNA". It matches the Rfam family "Eukaryotic large subunit ribosomal RNA", at positions 131 to 1373 of the family's 3401-position model. The record is from RNAcentral. Lineage: Eukaryota; Fungi; Ascomycota; Sordariomycetes; Diaporthales; Gnomoniaceae.
CUUCGGCCCGAGUUGUAAUUUGCAGAGGAUGUUUAUGGUGCGGUACCUUCCGAGUUCCCUGGAACGGGACGCCACAGAGGGUGAGAGCCCCGUCUGGUUGGAUACCAAACCUGUGUUAAACUCCUUCAACGAGUCGAGUAGUUUGGGAAUGCUGCUCUAAAUGGGAGGUAAAUCUCUUCUAAAGCUAAAUAUUGGCCAGAGACCGAUAGCGCACAAGUAGAGUGAUCGAAAGAUGAAAAGCACCUUGAAAAGGGGGUUAAACAGUACGUGAAAUUGUUGAAAGGGAAGCGUUUAUGACCAGACUUGUGCCGUGUGGCUCAUCCGAGGUUCUCCCCGGUGCACUCCACACGGCUCAGGCCAACAUCGGUUUUCGCUGGGGGAUAAGAACAGUAGGAACGUAGCUCCCCUCGGGGAGUGUUAUAGCCUAUUGUACGAUACCCUGGCGGGGACCGAGGACCGCGCUUCGGCUAGGAUGUUGGCGUAAUGGUCAUUAGCGACCCGUCUUGAAACACGGACCAAGGAGUCGUCCAUUAGAGCGAGCGUUUGGGUGUAAAACCCGCACGCGUAAUGAAAGUGAAAUUAGGUGAGAGCUUCGGCGCAUCAUCGACCGAUCCUGAAGUUUACGGAUGGAUUUGAGUAAGAGUUUUAACGGACGGACCCGAAAGACAGUGAACUAUGCUUGAAUAGGGUGAAGCCAGAGGAAACUCUGGUGGAGGCUCGCAGCGGUUCUGACGUGCAAAUCGAUCGUCAAAUUUGAGCAUGGGGGCGAAAGACUAAUCGAACUGUCUAGUAGCUGGUUACCGCCGAAGUUUCCCUCAGGAUAGCAGUGUUGACCUUCAGUUUUAUGAGGUAAAGCGAAUGAUUAGGGACUCGGGGGCGCUUAUUAGCCUUCAUCCAUUCUCAAACUUUAAAUAUGUAAGAAGCCCUUGUUACUUAAUUGAACGUGGGCAUUCGAAUGUACCAACACUAGUGGGCCAUUUUUGGUAAGCAGAACUGGCGAUGCGGGAUGAACCGAACGGGGGGUUAAGGCGCCAGAAUGUACGCUCAUCAGACACCACAAAAGGCGUUAGUACAUCUUGACAGCAGGACGGUGGCCAUGGAAGUCGGAAUCCGCUAAGGACUGUGUAACAACUCACCUGCCGAAUGUACUAGCCCUGAAAAUGGAUGGCGCUCAAGCGUACUGCCCAUACCCCCCCUUCAGGGUAGAAACGAUGCC